UCACUCUCUAGAACUACUCAAAGG
RNAcentral lists this microRNA (24 nucleotides) under Gallus gallus (chicken). RNAcentral describes it as "gga-miR-6700-3p". The record is from miRBase by way of RNAcentral. Lineage: Eukaryota; Metazoa; Chordata; Aves; Galliformes; Phasianidae.